GUGAAUCAUCGAAUUUUUGAACGCAAAUUGCACUCUCCGGUUUUCCGGGAGAGUAUGCCUUUUUAGGGGUCUGUUUAAAAAAUAAUCGAGUCUUCUCCUGUGUUGGCGCUUCGGAAUUGGGUCAGCUUCCACCUUUCUUGGUUUUAGGCGACCUAAAAUUUUUCUUACGAUUUCUACGGACGUUUCUAAGUAUUUUUCUUGUUCGUUCUCGACAUCGA
RNAcentral lists this unclassified non-coding RNA (218 nucleotides) under Glomus sp. RNAcentral describes it as "partial contains 5.8S ribosomal RNA and internal transcribed spacer 2". The stretch from base 1 to 72 matches the Rfam family "5.8S ribosomal RNA", at positions 84 to 154 of the family's 154-position model. The record is from RNAcentral. Lineage: Eukaryota; Fungi; Glomeromycota; Glomeromycetes; Glomerales; Glomeraceae.